GUGCACCACCUCCCUCCGCCGUCGCCGCUCCCGCACCCUGCCACCACCGCAGCCGGCUUCGCCGCCGCGAGGACAAGCCUAUCGGCCGCUCCUCUCCCCCAAUCGACCGCCAAGCUGUCACCUCCACUGCCAACCCGAGGCCGCCGCCGCUUUCGCCGCCCCGGCCACCGUUUACCGCCGCUCCCGGCCGUCCCGAGCCGCACCCGUGGCCAUCCUCAGCGUCGCCGCGUCGUGCCGCACCUCGGUUGCCGCCCCUCGCCGCCGAAAUUCCACGGGAGCCCGCUUUUCCCCGUUCAAGGUCCCGGAGGCCCCCGGCCGUCACUCGUCGCCCGUCGGCCGCCGUUGGGGCGCCGCCGUCGUCCUCGCCCGGGGAGCUCCGCCACUACCUCGCCUCCGUCCGGUGCCGUGCCGCUUGGUGAGCAUCCCCUUUCCUCCUCUUCUUUCCGCCGCCCUUCGCGCGCCCUCUCGCGCCGCUGCUCGCCGCCGGUGGCCGGGCGCCGCCGUGCGUCGUGUCUCGACCGGGCCGGCUCUGAGCCGUGCCCGUGCUCUGGGCGCCCUGCCUCGUGGCCGCCCGAUCAGCUCGAGCUGAUCUGGGCCGUCGGUUCCUGUGGACCGGCGGUGGACCACCCCGUGGUCCCGGUCCACGGUGGACCGAUUCCCUUGACCCGCUGACGUGUGGGGCCCGCCUGUCGGCGCCGGCCUCUUUGAUGACGUCAGUACUUAAGCUUUUCCUUUGAAAAAAUAAUUAAUAAUUGCGCAAUAAAUCGAGUUUAAUUCUAGAAAUUCAUUUAAAUGGCUCAAAACUUCUAAAAUUCAUAUCUAAUUCAUUCGAACUCCGAAUUGAGCCAUUCAACUUGCAAAAUUCAUCUAAAAUUGAGCUCUACAUGUUUGUUUAGUUUUUAUGUACUGUUUCCUCGGUUUUUAUUAGAGUUUUUCCUCGUUUUGCGUGCCAGCGUGUAGUUUCCGUCGUUUCGGAAGUCCGCGGUCGCGAGGAAAAGAGUUCGGAAGAUCAAAGUGAAGAAGCAAGGCAAGUCACACAUUCCCCUUGAGCAUGUUGAUCCUAAUUUACAAAUGUUUUACUGUUUGCAAAUAAAUAUGCAUGUUUUGCUAAUUACAUGGGAUCCGGGUAUUACCUAUCUGUUCGCUUGUGCCAUGUUUACUUGAUAUCUGUUCUUUGUCAACCUUGGGUAAUGAAUCGACUAGCUCAUGUUACUUAUGUGACCUAGCUAGAACUAUAUGCUUAGCCAUGCUUAAUUACCACUAGCUCAGUUGAUGGGAUAAUUACAGUAUUAGACCUUUUUAGUAUCAGUUUGAGCUGCGUGCUCGAGACACCUGGCCAUGCUUCAUGGUCGUAAUUAUCCAACUAAAAUGCGACUGAAUGGUGGGCUGUGGGUGCAUGGUUUUGCUGGUCGCACCCAUGGCAAUUAAGGACCGGUUCGCGGGAUGCCCUGGAAGAACUUAUCGUACUUACCACAAGCCAGCGUGGGCAACGGCUGGGCUUGUAGUGUAGCUUUCCUCUAGUCGACGCAUCCAGGCAAGGGUGGGCGUGAUGGAGCGGGGCGGGCCCUGCGACGGCCUCUGUCGCUUCCGGAUUCACCUAGGCACGAGAGGGGACUGCCCGUUGCCCGCUGGGGACGGGGGUGAAACCUGAGGUGUGGUGUGCUUGGCUAGAGGGGGUUAUGCGAAGGGUCCUGUCACGGCCUCUUUCCGGUAUGUCGUGGUGGCAUGUCGGCGCACGGAAACGUGUCGUGGGGCUGUGUCUUGUGGGUACAGUUGUACACCUCUGAUCAGAGUAAAACUAUUCGAAUAGCCGUGCCCGCGGUUAUGGGCGGUCGACCAGAUUCACCGUGAUUAGUCCCAUCUUAAUAAAUCGACCCAAUGCACUGUAGUCCAGGUGGGUUGGUUGGGCCUGUUCAACAUGGUGUAGCGUUGAUCAGUGGAGAUUUAAUGUUACUUUAAUUACUCAACAGUUUUACUGUUUUGCUCAAUAAAGUGUUUUACAACUGCCUUUAUGCAAAUAGCCACAAACCAUCCUUGUAUCCCCUUGCACGUCUGCAUCGUUGGUGUGGCUUGCUGAGUACGGUGGUUGUACUCAGCCUUGCUAUUAUUCCCCCUUUUCAGAAGUGUAGUGCUUCUGAGCUGAAGAUGGAGUUAGAGGACCAAGGCUCAGACCCCAGUUGAGUUUUGCCUGUGGAGUGGAGCUGAAGCCCCGCUAGGAUCGCCUUUUUCCGCUGCUGCUGCUUUUGUUUCGGUGUGAGGACUAAGUGCCUCUUCUGUAAGUAUUUUACGCUUUAUUUACGUUUGGAACUGUAUAUUACUUGUCGUUUUGUGUACCCUGGCUGGUCCUGGACAGGGAUUUACUACACAAAAUAGUCUGGAAAUUUGGGCUAAAUUUCUGGGCGUGACAGACAAGAGAUGUGUCCUUUAUUUUUCUUUUAAUUAUACAGAACAACGCUGACAUUCACAACACACUCACAUCCAUCCCUGUAAACACGUGCACGUAAACCCUACCCAUAUAAACAUCUUUCAAGACUGGGCGGCCAGCAAAUCGUUGAGAUAUAGCACGAAUCCUAGAGCGAUUCUAGCUAUCAGAAGGAUUGGUCGGUGUUUUACAAUUUUUCGAUUGCUGGCGCUUACAUGGCAUGUCGUAUGGAUGCUAAGUGGCAUGCCUAACAUUUUGGUUAAUUUUUCUUUUCUUUUUUUCCCCUCUAAAUUCCCUUAUCUUUUUUUUCUUUUUUUUUACGCACGAUCAGAAAGGAAGAAGAGAAGAAAAGGGGGAGAAAAAAAUAUAAAAUGAAAAUGAGUAAAUGCUCGUGUUGCAUGUCAUCUGAAUACAACGUAUGAUCCCAAAAGGGUCUUAGUAAUUUGGGACCAGAAUACCACACUUUGAUAAGUUUUAGGACAUGAAUAUAUUUUGAGAGUUCGGGAAUCUAGAUGACACAGGUUCAUCCAGGCGAACAAGUUUAAGUACCGACAGUGAAACAAGUUAUUUACAACAGGUUUAGAAAUUUUGGACUGAAAUAAGUUUAAACUUAAACCAAAUUUGAUUAAAUUUGAAAAAAAAAGGUUUACUCUUAGUAGGGGACCAAGCGCUUGUUCAUUUUGUUACCAAUUUUAGCAAUGCUAAAUUUUUAUAAGUUUCGACGUUAUCAAAUUUUGGUAGCGUUAAAAUUAUUUAGUUCGAUGUAUUUUUCAAAUUUUGGUAGUCUUUUUGUGUGAAGAAAGUUCCGGAACCAACAAACUUUGGUAGAAUGGUAUUGGUAAGGUAAUAUUUAUAGUCUGUUACGCUACCAUAAUUUGUGCAGGAUAAGAUUUUGGUAGGGUUAAAAGUGGCAAUAAAUCCAACAGGCUCCAAAUUAGUACUCCCAUUAAUCGGACACCGUGGUUAGCUUGUCCGCAUCUGAGCUCUCGGCGCAUGAAAAUAGCCUAAAGGCGUGUACAUAUUUCCGUCCUCGUACGCAUCGAUCGAUCAAUCACAUGAAGAGAGACGGCGCAACCGCGCAAGCAAGAUUAUCAGUUGCUUCGUCCCUCGCAGCGCCGCCCCCCGCCGUAAACUAGGCCAUGGAGGCUCAACGACGACGGUGAGGGAGCUGGAGGUGGAGAUGAUGGCGGCGGAACCUCGACCAGCGCCUGGACAGCAUAUGGAUCGCCUCUCGCGCGCGGACCACAUAGAGCGGAGCCUGGACGAGAUCAGGGAGAGGAGCAGGAGAAGCUCGAGCAGGUGUUCCCGGAGCUGCGGUCGCCGUGUGGGGGAGGGCCCAGGACUAGGCCAUCUGCGCCGGCGAUAGCGGACGACGAGGUGAUCGUGCCUGAUCCGGGCCUGACGAGGCUGUUCGUCAGCCAACGCGAGACCCAGAUUUUGGAAGAGAUCGAAUGGCGAAAUCAAGCAAUAAGGCAGCGGCAAGCACGCGUCGUAGUUCCAUUGUAGGCUUGUAGCAGCUGGUUGGAGGAAAAAAAUUGUGAAUAUACCUAUUUUUUUCAAUAAUUUACGUUUAUAUAUCUACAUGGAAAGAAUUUGCAUAAAUAUACCUAUCCCGCGGAGAAGAAACGCGGGACCGGCCGAGUGAUUGGCGCAAUGUAAAAAACGUGGGUCCAACAGUAAUGCAGCACCGCGCGGUUCUAGGGCUGGGCAUGUGAGACCGGCCGUGCAUUCAUUAUAAUAAUAAAAAUCGCUGACGUGGCGCUCCUAAUCUCGUGGCGCUCCCACGGCUUUUAGGUAAAUAAAUAUGCCUAUACUGUUCAUUUGAUACACUAUUUAGCACCGUUAAGACAUUGUUUAAUACUAUUAAGACACUAUUUAGCACUGUUGAGGCAUUGUUUAGUACUAUUGGGCACUGUUCAUAUAGCCAGUGCCACACGACUAGGGCUGGACGAAAAGCUCGUGACUCAUUGGCUUGCUCGGCUCGUUGUUAGCUCGGCUCGGCUCGACUCGGCUCGUUACAUUUUCUUAACGAGCUGAGCUAGCAUCUUAGCUCGUUACUCAUAACGAGCCAGCUCGAGCUGGCUCACGAGCUCAACGAGCUAAGGGCAAGUAGCAGGCCAGCAGCCCAACAACCACAGUCGCGAGUCGCCCGGCCCAUUUCCCAGCAACUCAUCCCAAAAAUGCUAACCCUAGCCUUCGUGAGCGCGUCGCCCAGUCCUCCUCUCAGGUCUCAGCCGCACAACCGUGCGGCGGCGCUGAAGCUCAUCUGCCCAUCUCGCCGCUCUCCUCUACCGUAGCAAACCAGCUGCAAAAUACUCUCUGCAUUCUUCGGUCUCUCCACUCAGGAGCACCAAGACCAUGCUAGCAAAAUCGCAAUCACGAAGUCUUGGAAGGAUGCCAUGCUCGCGGAGUCCGCAGAGGGACAAGAAGGCAAGGCCCCUGCCUCACAUCCUCGAAGCCCCACCUGGAGUCCUGGAAAAUUGGUUCACAUGUAAGAGAUUUUGGUUCUCACACUUCUCACUGAGUUGGUGUUCGUCAUGUGUUUCGUUUGUUUUGUUUCAACUGCAAGAUUCAAUCAAAUGUUCCUUUGACCUUACAAAUUUAACCUUCUUUCUUUACCUUUUCUCGGGCUGGGAUUUAUUUUGGCUAAUGAAGGUUGCUUGCUGCCUGUGCCAGAUUCAUGUCAAAACGUGUGCUUGACCACGCCGCCGCUUGCUGCAUAGCCUGCUGCCCUUGCCCUUGUGCCGUCACUCGCAGCGCGGCCUGCCCGUCCCCGUGCAGUCGCUGGCUCGCGAGCUAAAACGAGCUAGCUUGAGCUUGUAGCGAGCACGAGCCGAGCUGCGUUUUCUGCUCGUUUAGAUAGCGAGCCGAGCCGAGUCAGCUCGUUUAGAUUAAAGCGAGCCGAGCCGAGCCGAGCUGGCUCGGCAUGCACCACCCCUACGCACGACGAAACCACGGGACCGUAUCGGUGCCGCGUUUUCGAGCCACGGGACUAUCUCGGUGCCACGCUGCCACACUCCCGGUCCGCGGUGUAGUUUCAACCCGCGGGACCGUCGCAGUUCCACUCCCUUGUUCAGCGGGAACAGCCCAGCCAACGCUCCCGCAUUCCCGCGUUUUCACUUUGCGGGGUGGAUAUAUUUAUGCAAAUUUUUCUCGUACAGACAUAUGAACGUAAAUUAUUUUUAAAAAGAUUGGUAUAUUCUCUUUUUUUUUCCUGGUUGGACCGACCUGAUCAUGCCGGAUCCACGCGCUUGUCUUGUGAUCUUGGGUUUGGUUUGAAUUCAAAAAUGCUUUAGCAAAAUGUCUUGCUAUAUGAAAUAGCUAUUACUAUGCAGCUGCUCGCACAAACUACGCUCCAUGUUUGAAACUUGAUUUAGGACAUGUUUAUUUUGAUGCCUAAAUCAACGUGACUAAAUUUUGACGUUGUCAAUAUUUUGUAAGGUUGUUGAUGUAUAGGUUGUAUUUAAUUAAUUUACUACAUCUAUCAGGUAUUUUGGGAAGAAGAUUCUAAAAAUACCAAAGUUUGGUAGCGUAGGUAAUUUUUGAUAAUGUUUAGAUUGUUGCCUUGUCAAAUUUUGGUUUUGCCAAAAUUUAGUAGGGUUAAGUCUGGCAACAAAGCGAACAACACUUUAAUUUGACGAUCUACACAUGAUUCUGUACCUGCUAGCAAUAUUGCUUCAUCAGUUGAAGCCAACUUGUUUUUUUUUCAUAAUCGAACUUUCUAACUCUUUAAAACCUCCUACAAUUGCGUAAAAACAACCUCCUACCUAGAGAAAUCUCUUGAAAUAAAGUUGAACGAGAGCUCCAUAACAACGCCUUCAAAAAGGUAAUCAGCGUCUAAGAGCUUCACUGUCACCAGCACCGGCAAGCCGAGCAAGACUUUCGUCUCGAAGUCCCAUCCGAACAUAGUGACCACAAUGUAAGUAGCAAAUGCCACAUGCACACGGAAGCUACCUGUACUAUGUACACCGUAACGACCUGCACGACGGCUGGACAGCGUUGUUGAUGACCUGCUAAGUUUUUCUCUGCACUGGAUUAAGUGUAAAGAAAUUCGAUUUUAGAAAAAAAAAAUUAAAACCUCCUGCAAAAUAAAAGAGAUGGAGUACAACUACUAUACUCGAGUCUGAGACGGAUCGACCGUGGCGCGUGUCCGCACCUGCAUAAUUAAAAACGCUAGGCGUGUACGUACGUAGUUUCGUCUCCUUUUUUUACCUAAAUGAUGCAUCCAUCUACGCAUACGUCCUCGUAACAAGAUUAGACGAUGAAGCUAAUCAAGCUCCUCAUCGGCUGCUUCGUCCCCCGCGGCGGCGAGACCGAGGCUCAGAUGAUGAUGAGGGAGCUGGAUGAAGAGCUCAACGAGCUGUUCCGGGACGUGCUGCCGCCACCACGGUCGCCGUGGAAGAGGGCGAAGGAGGCCAUCCGCCGCCGCAGGAACGGCGCCAAGGUCGCGCCGGCGACGGUGGACGCCGCCGUGAUCGUGCUUGGCCCGGCCGUGACGAGGAUGCUCGUCGACCAAGGCGCGACCCAUCUUCUGGACGAGCUCGAAUUGCUUAAUCAGGCAAUAAGGGAGCACUACGCGUCGUCGUAGCUUCAUGCUACCUGCUAUGUCUUGUGAUCUUUGGCUUUGAUUUCGUAGUACUCUCUUCCUUCAUAUUAUAAUAAGUCGUUUGACUUUUUUUUCUUAGUUAAUCUUUCAGUUAAAUCAAAUUUAUAGAGAAAAUUAGCAACAUCGACGACACCAGACUAGUUUCACUAAAUUGAACAUUGAAUAUGUUUCGUUACAAUGUUUGUUUUAUAUUAAAAAUAAUAUUAUAUUUUGCUACAAACUCAGUUAAAUUUAAAAAAGUUUGAUUAAAAAAAAUCUAACUAUUUAUAAUAUGAAAUGGGGGAGUAUUGUAGAGCUGCAGAGGCUUGCUUUGGCUGUACAAGAUUAUGUACUAUCUAGCAUUGGUUCAUUAGCUGAAAGCUCUGGUUUCCCAUGCAUCCAUGGCCAAGGCCAACAGAACUCAUUAUGUGCUGAAUCGCAUUCUGAAAUCUACGCAGAAGUUACGGUUACCAGAUCUGAUAAGAGGUACUAAACACAACACCCAGCUAUACCCAUAUGCUGAUGUUAUUAUGAUGUUAGUAUUAUGUCGUUGUAACAUUAUAGUGUUUUUUAAAAUAUAUUUUUGUCCUUUUUUAUUGAUCGAUGUUAUAUAAUAACCUUUUAAACUUUCCCUAAACUUCCAAUAACUCACAUUGCUUACAAUUUUUACGACGAAACGAACAACGUCCAACAUUCGAAUGUUUGCUAGGCAAUCCCUCUUAAAAAUAGAAGAUACUCCUAUACGGAUUCCAUCGCUUCUGGAUGUGGGUCCCAGGCGCUCUUCAGCCCGGCCCAAAAAACACUGCUGGGCCGAAACCUGCGAUAACACAUGAGAUAGGCAGGCAUCCGACGUGGCAGCGCCACGAUCCGAAGCCGCGCCCCGAUUGGCCCCGCCCAAAUCCAGAAAUCUCCACCUCACCCGCUCACCUCCGCCACAAACUCCCCCGCUACAUAUACGUUACACGUAGCACCUCCCCUUCUAGAGUAGUGUUAGUCUUAGCGAAUCCAGCAGCAGAAGCAGCAGCAGCAGCUCAGCCGCCGCCGAUGGCGUCCACGAUCAUGGCCCCAACCUCCCGCGUCCUCGCCGCCAAGACCCCCUUCCUCGGCCAUCCCCGCCCCUCCAAUGCCCCCGUCCGCGACAUCGCCGCCGCCGCCACCGGCCGCAUCACCAUGGUACGUACACACUUACUCUACUAUUUUCCGUUCAAGAAUAUAACAACCUAAUAUCAUCGGAUGUUCGAGAAUACAUCAUAGUUGUUGUUAUAUUUUUGGACGGAAAGAGUGCAGAGUAGCUAAGUAGCUAUUUUUUGGUUGUGGGGGUGCAGAGCAAGGAGCUGUGGUACGGGCCGGAUAGGGUGAAGUACCUGGGGCCAUUCUCGGCGCAGACGCCGUCGUACCUGAGGGGCGAGUUCCCGGGCGACUACGGGUGGGACACGGCGGGGCUCUCCGCGGACCCGGAGGCGUUCGCGAGGAACAGGGCGCUGGAGGUGAUCCACGGCCGGUGGGCGAUGCUCGGCGCGCUGGGCUGCAUCACGCCGGAGGUGCUCGAGAAGUGGGUGCGCGUCGACUUCAAGGAGCCCGUGUGGUUCAAGGCCGGCGCCCAGAUCUUCUCCGACGGCGGCCUCGACUACCUCGGCAACCCCAACCUGGUGCACGCCCAGAGCAUCCUCGCCGUGCUGGGAUUCCAGGUCGUCCUCAUGGGCCUCGUCGAGGGCUACCGCAUCAACGGCCUCCCCGGCGUCGGCGACGGCAACGACCUCUACCCCGGCGGCCAGUACUUCGACCCGCUCGGCCUCGCCGACGACCCCGUCACCUUCGCCGAGCUCAAGGUCAAGGAGAUCAAGAAUGGCCGCCUC
Molecule: long non-coding RNA, 8863 nt
Filed under: Oryza sativa (Asian cultivated rice)
Lineage: Eukaryota; Viridiplantae; Streptophyta; Magnoliopsida; Poales; Poaceae
Description: long non-coding RNA (OSAT_LNC001380)
Source: RNAcentral